GCCCGUGUUGUGUAACCGGAUAGCACGUCCGACUAGCAUUCGGGAGAUCUGGUGUUCGAAUCUCGACGAGAGCG
RNAcentral lists this transfer RNA (74 nucleotides) under Stegodyphus mimosarum. It matches the Rfam family "tRNA". Rfam says of the family: Transfer RNA (tRNA) molecules are approximately 80 nucleotides in length. Their secondary structure includes four short double-helical elements and three loops (D, anti-codon, and T loops). Further hydrogen bonds mediate the characteristic L-shaped molecular structure. tRNAs have two regions of fundamental functional importance: the anti-codon, which is responsible for specific mRNA codon recognition, and the 3' end, to which the tRNAs corresponding amino acid is attached (by aminoacyl-tRNA synthetases). tRNAs cope with the degeneracy of the genetic code in two manners: having more than one tRNA (with a specific anti-codon) for a particular amino acid; and 'wobble' base-pairing, i.e. permitting non-standard base-pairing at the 3rd anti-codon position. The record is from Rfam by way of RNAcentral. Lineage: Eukaryota; Metazoa; Arthropoda; Arachnida; Araneae; Eresidae.